CCUACGGGGGGCAGCAGUGAGGAAUAUUGGUCAAUGGACGAGAGUCUGAACCAGCCAAGUAGCGUGAAGGAUGACUGCCCUAUGGGUUGUAAACUUCUUUUAUAUGGGAAUAAAACGUUCCACGUGUGGGAUUUUGUAUGUACCAUAUGAAUAAGGAUCGGCUAACUCCGUGCCAGCAGCCGCGGUAAUACGGAGGAUCCGAGCGUUAUCCGGAUUUAUUGGGUUUAAAGGGAGCGUAGGUGGAUUGUUAAGUCGGUUGUGAAAGUUUGCGGCUCAACCGUAAAAUUGCAGUUGAAACUGGCAGUCUUGAGUACAGUAGAGGUGGGCGGAAUUCGUGGUGUAGCGGUGAAAUGCUUAGAUAUCACGAAGAACUCCGAUUGCGAAGGCAGUUCACUGGACUGCAACUGACACUGAGGCUCGAAAGUGUGGGUAUCAAACAGGAUUAGAUACCCCUGUAGUC
Molecule: ribosomal RNA, 460 nt
Filed under: uncultured bacterium
Lineage: Bacteria
Description: partial 16S ribosomal RNA
Rfam family: Bacterial small subunit ribosomal RNA
Source: RNAcentral